UACGUAGGGGGCGAGCGUUGUCCGGAAUUAUUGGGCGUAAAGAGCGUGUAGGCGGUUCGGUAAGUCUGCCGUGAAAACCCAGGGCUCAACCCUGGGCGUGCGGUGGAUACUGCCGAGCUAGAGGGUGGUAGAGGCGGGUGGAAUUCCCGGUGUAGCGGUGAAAUGCGCAGAUAUCGGGAGGAACACCAGUAGCGAAGGCGGCUCGCUGGGCCAUACCUGACGCUGAGACGCGAAAGCGUGGGGAGCAAACAGG
RNAcentral lists this unclassified non-coding RNA (253 nucleotides) under uncultured Rubrobacterales bacterium. RNAcentral describes it as "contains 16S-23S intergenic spacer region". It matches the Rfam family "Bacterial small subunit ribosomal RNA", at positions 524 to 776 of the family's 1533-position model. Lineage: Bacteria; Bacillati; Actinomycetota; Rubrobacteria; Rubrobacterales. The record is from RNAcentral.